UAUAUACUCCCUCCGUCCGGAAAUACUUGUCAUCAAAAUGGAUAAAAGGGAUGUAUCUAGAUGUAUUUUAGUUUUAGAUACAUCCCUUUGGUCCAUUUUGAUGACAAGUAUUUUCGGACGGAGGGAGUAUAAU
This is a non-coding RNA of Triticum aestivum (bread wheat), 133 nucleotides long. Lineage: Eukaryota; Viridiplantae; Streptophyta; Magnoliopsida; Poales; Poaceae. The record is from Rfam.